Molecule: ribosomal RNA, 494 nt
Filed under: uncultured bacterium
Lineage: Bacteria
Description: partial 16S ribosomal RNA
Rfam family: Bacterial small subunit ribosomal RNA
Source: RNAcentral
GACGAACGCUGGCGGCGUGCUUAACACAUGCAAGUCGAACGGAAAGGCCUGCUUUCCCUUGUGGAUUGCGGGUACUCGAGUGGCGAACGGGUGAGUAACACGUGAGUGAUCUGCCCCCAACUUGGGUAUAAGCCCGGGAAACUGGGUCUAAUUCCCGAUAGGACCGCAGGGUGGUGCCUGUGGUGGAAAACGAUUUUCUAGUGGUUGGGGAUGAGCUCGCGGCCUAUCAGCUUGAUGGUGGGGUAAUGGCCUACCAAGGCGGCGACGGGAAGCCGGCCUGGGAGGGUGUACGGCCACAUUGGGACUGAGAUACGGCCCGGACUCCUACGGGGGGCAGCAGCGAGGAAUAUUGCACAAGGGGCGGAAGCCUGAUGCAGCGACGCCGCGUGGGGGAUGACGGACUUCGGGUUGUAGACUCCUUUCGACGGCGAGGAAGCCACCUGGUUGGAAGGGUGGUGACGGUAGUGGGAGAAGAAGCGCCGGCUAACUACGUG